AGCGCGGUAGAGCAGCUCGGUAGCUCGCUGGGCUCAUAAUCCAGAGGUCGCGUGUUCGAAUCACGCCCGCGCUAC
RNAcentral lists this transfer RNA (75 nucleotides) under Nocardia cerradoensis. Its description in RNAcentral is "tRNA-Met". It matches the Rfam family "tRNA". From Rfam's summary of the family: Transfer RNA (tRNA) molecules are approximately 80 nucleotides in length. Their secondary structure includes four short double-helical elements and three loops (D, anti-codon, and T loops). Further hydrogen bonds mediate the characteristic L-shaped molecular structure. tRNAs have two regions of fundamental functional importance: the anti-codon, which is responsible for specific mRNA codon recognition, and the 3' end, to which the tRNAs corresponding amino acid is attached (by aminoacyl-tRNA synthetases). tRNAs cope with the degeneracy of the genetic code in two manners: having more than one tRNA (with a specific anti-codon) for a particular amino acid; and 'wobble' base-pairing, i.e. permitting non-standard base-pairing at the 3rd anti-codon position. Lineage: Bacteria; Bacillati; Actinomycetota; Actinomycetes; Mycobacteriales; Nocardiaceae. The record is from RNAcentral.